UCUAUUCAUUUAGUUGUUUCCUCCAGUCAUUCCAUCCUUCUGGUCUUACAAUGGCAUCAAAUUCACAAUACGAAUAUAAAACUCGUGAAUAAUCCCCCAAGCUCCUCCCAAGAAAGUUCUUCCUUUUACCCCAAGCCUGUAUAAGCUGCUACUGCAUAUCCAUCCUCUAGAACAUGGAGAGCACACUACUAUUCAAUUCAUCAUUAUUAAAGUCGACUCGAAACUAUCUGCAGGAUUAGUCCAUGCUCCAAUACACUCAAGUUUAGCAGCACAACCAUUUUCCAUCGAUGAAGGCAUUUUAGGACUCAAACCACUUAAC
This 319-nucleotide long non-coding RNA is filed under the name Olea europaea subsp. europaea. Lineage: Eukaryota; Viridiplantae; Streptophyta; Magnoliopsida; Lamiales; Oleaceae. The record is from RNAcentral.